Megalobrama amblycephala (Wuchang bream) is the source of this 649-nucleotide long non-coding RNA. RefSeq lists it as uncharacterized. NCBI's taxonomy places the organism in Eukaryota, Metazoa, Chordata, Actinopteri, Cypriniformes, Xenocyprididae. The record is from RefSeq and is a predicted model, not a curated record. The transcript is spliced from 2 exons.
GUGUUUAAAAAUAAUGUAUGUUAAAUUCAGCUUAAAUUGGGAAACUCGCCAUUGGCUGUGACGUCACUCGCGUUAGUGCACAUGAUAUUGCGGGGCGGAGCUCUAUAAUCAGAGUCUCAUAGCUCGUCCUGCUGACGUUGUAUGCGACAUCGAUGUGCUAUAUGCUGUAUGCUGAUAAGCCAUUUGGUCCUGUUUUCCCAGGUAUGUGUUUUAUUCGAGUUUUGUCAUGUUCUAUGUUAAAAUAUUAGCCCCAGCUGAAUGUUAGCUUUUAGCACAUGUGCUGUAUCGUCUCGCACGUGCUCUCUGCUGUGUAACUGCGCCAUCUAAGGGCUGCGUUAUUCUCUCUCCAUUUCAUUUAUAUAAAAUAUGUAAAAUGAUGGUUACUUGAGUUUAUAUUUUCACUGUAUUAAUGUUAAUUGUCUGUAUUAGUGUUUUAUAUUUUAUUUUCAUGGAUGUAUGCUUUAAGAAUUUUUCCACUAUAUGUUCACGCUCAAUUUGAGAAAAUGUAUAUAAUCAGAGUCUCAUAGCUCGUCCUGCUGACGUUGUAUGCGACAUCGAUGUGCUAUAUGCUGUAUGCUGAUAAGCCAUUUGGUCCUGUUUUCCCAGUCUUCUUGUCGCAGAUACAGUAAAGCAACCCUGAGUGACCAUC